GUCCAGGCUCUGUGACUCCGGCAUCAGUAGUGCCAAGUAUUUCUUUCAGAACAGACGCAUUCGCAAAGAGACAACCAAAUUUGAGCAGCGACCUUCGUAUUACUUUUCUUCACCUGCCUACAAAUCACGAGCCCGAUUAUAAACCAUGGAAAAUGGACAUGAUCAAACGUCGGAAGCGAUGAUGGGUGAUGGAGAGGACAGUGGGAUUGCAUCCAAUGACUCCGGUAGCCGAAGAGAUUCUUUAUCUAGCUUACCUAGCAUGGCCAGCAACGACCCCGGUAGCCGAAGAGAUUCUUUAUCAAGCACGGCCAGCAACGACUCCGGAAUCGGCUCCAUGUCGAAUGCCAGUUCAACGAUGUCGGGAUUAAUUCAUAUUCAAGUCGUGGAUUACGAGGGCAAGACGAAAAUCGCGACUGUCAGACCGACGGACACGGUAAAAGACCUCAAGGUCAAGAUCCAGGAGAAACUGAAGAUCGCCCCUUCUCAACAGCGGCUUCAGUUCCAAAGCAAGACCCUCGAUGAUCAGUCGACUUCUAGUCUAAAAAGUCUGGGACUCCAACAUUUGAGCACGGUGCAUUUGCAUGGUCGACUUCAGGGUGGUGCAGCUUAGAAAUUAAAGCAGAUUCUGAGACGAAUUUGACACAAGGCGUAGCCAAAGUGGCAUAUCCAGCACUACAGCAGGAAAUAGAACCGACAUAAACCACCCACCCCAUAAGGCAAAAUAAGAG
This is a long non-coding RNA of Strongylocentrotus purpuratus (purple sea urchin), 728 nucleotides long. RefSeq annotates it as polyubiquitin-like. The record is from RefSeq and is a predicted model, not a curated record. The transcript has 4 exons. Lineage: Eukaryota; Metazoa; Echinodermata; Echinoidea; Camarodonta; Strongylocentrotidae.